UUUGGAAUUAAAAUUGGGGUAGUAUAAGUAGAUCUUGAAACCCAAAAUUUUUGGCGGUUUUUUAGUCAGGUUAGAGGAAUCUGUUCUGUGAUGGAUGUUCCACUUUUGGUUUAACUCUGGUAAGUUAAGUUUAUAUACCGCCGUCGUAAAGUGAAUUUUUUAGAUUUUAUUGGAAAUUUGGAUGGAAAAGAAGAUGACAGGUCAAGGUGUAGCUAAUGCUGGAGGGUGAGAUGGAUUACAAUCUUUUAUUUGGAGACGGAUGUUAAUGAGAAGGAAUAUUGUUGAUUGAAGGUGGAUUUAUAAGUAAUAGUUGAUUAAGAUGGGAUUGUGAAAGGAGCUCUGGGGAACGU
This 350-nucleotide ribosomal RNA is filed under the name Paraphrynus baeops. RNAcentral's name for it is "partial small subunit ribosomal RNA". Lineage: Eukaryota; Metazoa; Arthropoda; Arachnida; Amblypygi; Phrynidae. The record is from RNAcentral.